AUGGCCCCUUAUAGAUUGGCAGCAUUUGGAUUCAGAGGAGCACUGAAAUUGCAAAACAAGUUUUAUGGCCCAUGCCUGGUGAUUCAAAAGGUGGGAAAAUGUGCCUACAAACUGCAACUGCCAAGUUCAGUGCAAAUACAUCCAGUUUUUCAUGUCAGCCAGUUAAAAAAGCAUGUGGGGGACAAAUCAAUACCAGGACCUCAUCUACCAUUGGUGAAUGCGGACGGGACAGUUAAAACAGGGCCAGCUAAAGUACUGCAGGUACGCCAAAUUCCCCGCAAUAAUGCACCAGUUGUCCAGUGGCUUAUCAAGUGGAUCAACCUGCCUACUGAAGAUGCAACGUGGGAAGAUACUGAUUUCAUUAAGUAUACGUUCCCGGACUUCUUCAGCACCACCACACGUGCGUGGCGAAGCAAACAAGCAGCGCCGUGA
RNAcentral lists this ribosomal RNA (432 nucleotides) under Triticum aestivum (bread wheat). RNAcentral describes it as "partial small subunit ribosomal RNA". Lineage: Eukaryota; Viridiplantae; Streptophyta; Magnoliopsida; Poales; Poaceae. The record is from RNAcentral.